Molecule: non-coding RNA, 110 nt
Organism: Podospora conica
Lineage: Eukaryota; Fungi; Ascomycota; Sordariomycetes; Sordariales; Podosporaceae
Source: the annotation of a GenBank genome assembly
GCCCGGCUAGCUCAAUCGGUAGAGCGUGAGACUCUUAAUUCACAGCUGUCCCAUAUGGCGCGCAGUGAAGGAUAAUCUCAAGGUUGUGGGUUCGACCCCCACGUCGGGCU